UCGAGAAUCUUCCGCAAUGGACGCAAGUCUGACGGAGCGACGCCGCGUGAUGGAUGAAGUCCUUCGGGAUGUAAACAUCUUUUAUGAGAUAGAAAGUUUAUUGAUCAUCUCAUGAAUAAGAGGUUGCUAAACUCGUGCCAGCAGCAGCGGUAAUACGAGUGCCUCAAGCGUUAUCCGGAAUUAUUGGGCGUAAAGGGUGUGUAGGCGGUUAUAUUAGUCUUGUGUUAAAUCCUUCGGCUCAACUGAAGAGAUGCAUGGGAAACGGUAUAACUCGAGGAUGCGAGAGGUGAAUAGAACUCAUGGUGUAGGGGUGAAAUCCGUUGAUAUCAUGGGGAAUACCAAAUGCGAAGGCAAUUCACUGGCGCACUCCUGACGCUGAAACACGAAAGCGUAGGUAGCG
This 400-nucleotide ribosomal RNA is filed under the name uncultured bacterium. RNAcentral describes it as "bacterial SSU rRNA". It matches the Rfam family "Bacterial small subunit ribosomal RNA", at positions 355 to 770 of the family's 1533-position model. The record is from RNAcentral.